GAUCCUGUGGUGUAGUGGUUAUCACGUCUGCUUCACACGCAGAAGGUCGCCGGUUCGAUCCCG
Molecule: transfer RNA, 63 nt
Filed under: Haemonchus placei
Lineage: Eukaryota; Metazoa; Nematoda; Chromadorea; Rhabditida; Trichostrongylidae
Rfam family: tRNA
About the family: Transfer RNA (tRNA) molecules are approximately 80 nucleotides in length. Their secondary structure includes four short double-helical elements and three loops (D, anti-codon, and T loops).
Source: Rfam by way of RNAcentral